RNAcentral lists this ribosomal RNA (446 nucleotides) under uncultured prokaryote. RNAcentral describes it as "bacterial SSU rRNA". It matches the Rfam family "Bacterial small subunit ribosomal RNA", at positions 355 to 796 of the family's 1533-position model. The record is from RNAcentral.
UCGAGAAUCUUCCACAAUGGGCGAAAGCCUGAUGGAGCGACACCGCGUGCAGGAUGAAGGCCUUAGGGUUGUAAACUGCUGUCACGCUAUAGGAACCCGCAAUGGUUAAUAGUCAUUGCGCUGACUAAAGCGAGAGGAAGCGCCGGCUAACUCCGUGCCAGCAGCCGCGGUAAUACGGAGGGCGCAAGCGUUGUUCGGAUUCACUGGGCAUAAAGAGCACGUAGGCGGCUCGCUCAGUCAGGUGUGAAAGCCCACGGCCCAACCGUGGAACUGCAUCUGAUACUGGCGAGCUCGAGGACGGAAGGGGUGAGUGGAACUUCAGGUGGAACGGUGAAAUGUGUAGAUAUCUGAAGGAACACCGGUGGCGAAAGCGGCUCACUGGUCCGUCUCUGACGCUGAGGUGCGAAAGCUAGGGUAGCGAACGGGAUUAGAUACCCCUGUAGUCC